AAUAACGGUCCUAAGGUAGCGAAAUUCCUUGUCGGGUAAGUUCCGACCCGCACGAAUGGCGUAACGAUGGCCACACUGUCUCCUCCUGAGACUCAGCGAAGUUGAAAUGUUUGUGAAGAUGCAAUCUCCCCGCUGCUAGACGGAAAGACCCCGUGAACCUUUACUGUAGCUUUGCAUUGGACUUUGAACAGACUUGUGUAGGAUAGGUGGGAGGCUUUGAAGUGGGAACGCCAGUUCUCAUGGAGCCGUCCUUGAAAAUACCACCCUGGUGUGUUUGAGGUUCUAACCUAGGUCCGUAAUCCGGAUCGGGGACCGUGCAUGGUAGGCAGUUUGACUGGGGCGGUCUCCUCCCAAAAGUGUAACGGAGGAGCUCGAAGGUCUCCUAGGUACGGUCGGACAUCGUACUGAUAGUGUAAUGGCAUAAGGAGGCUUAACUGCGAGACCGACAAGUCGAGCAGGUGCGAAAGCAGGACAUAGUGAUCCGGUGGUUCUGUAUGGAAGGGCCAUCGCUCAACGGAUAAAAGGUACUCCGGGG
Molecule: ribosomal RNA, 535 nt
Filed under: uncultured bacterium
Lineage: Bacteria
Description: bacterial LSU rRNA
Rfam family: Bacterial large subunit ribosomal RNA
Source: RNAcentral